RNAcentral lists this ribosomal RNA (253 nucleotides) under uncultured bacterium. RNAcentral's name for it is "partial 16S ribosomal RNA". It matches the Rfam family "Bacterial small subunit ribosomal RNA", at positions 524 to 776 of the family's 1533-position model. The record is from RNAcentral.
UACAGAGGUCCCAAGCGUUGUUCGGAUUCAUUGGGGGUAAAGGGUGCGUAGGUGGCUCCAUAAGUCGGGUGUGAAAUUUCGGAGCUUAACUCCGAAACUGCAUUCGAUACUGUGGUGCUUGAGGACUGGAGAUGAGACUGGAAUUCACGGUGUAGCAGUGAAAUGCGUAGAGAUCGUGAGGAAGACCAGUGGCGAAGGCGGGUCUCUGGACAGUUCCUGACACUGAGGCACGAAGGCCAGGGGAGCAAACGGG